CAGCAGCCACGGUAACACGUAGGGUGCAAGCGUUGUCCGGAAUCAUUGGGCGUAAAGCGCGCGUAGGUGGCCACUUAAGUCCGCUGUGAAAGUCAAAGGCUCAACCUUUGAAAGCCGGUGGAUACUGGAUGGCUAGAGUACGGAAGAGGCGAGUGGAAUUCCUGGUGUAGCGGUGGAAUGCGCAGAUAUCAGGAGGAACACCAAUAGCGAAGGCAACUCGCAGGGACGUUACUGACACUAAGGCGCGAAAGCGUGGGGAGCGAACAGGAUUAGAUACCCCCGUAGUCCCUGUCUCUUAUAC
RNAcentral lists this ribosomal RNA (301 nucleotides) under uncultured bacterium. RNAcentral describes it as "partial 16S ribosomal RNA". It matches the Rfam family "Bacterial small subunit ribosomal RNA", at positions 509 to 807 of the family's 1533-position model. The record is from RNAcentral.